UAUAUUUUAGUAUAUUAUGUACACUAAUUUUUGAUUUUAGAGGUAACGGUUUAUUUCCGUUAAAUGUAU
This 69-nucleotide transfer RNA is filed under the name Agasicles hygrophila. RNAcentral describes it as "tRNA-Gln". It matches the Rfam family "tRNA". Rfam says of the family: Transfer RNA (tRNA) molecules are approximately 80 nucleotides in length. Their secondary structure includes four short double-helical elements and three loops (D, anti-codon, and T loops). Lineage: Eukaryota; Metazoa; Arthropoda; Insecta; Coleoptera; Chrysomelidae. The record is from RNAcentral.